RNAcentral lists this ribosomal RNA (109 nucleotides) under Pteropus alecto (black flying fox). Lineage: Eukaryota; Metazoa; Chordata; Mammalia; Chiroptera; Pteropodidae. The record is from RNAcentral.
GUCUUCGGCCAUGCCGCCCUGAACAAGCCUGAUCUCGGAAGCUAAGCAGGGUCGGGCCUGGUGAGUACUUGGAUGGGAGACCGCCUAGGAAGACCGGGUGCUGCAGGCG